GCGCAGUCAAGGGUGUUACUUACGAAAGGGAUCUUUCCUGCGGAGAACCAUGCCGGCUAAGCCAGCCCCUGCAAAGAAGGCGGCCAAGAAGGAGGCCAAGAAGGAGGAACCAGCUCCCGCUCCUGAGCCAGCGCCAGAGCCUGCACCUGAGGCUCCUCCUGCUGAAGCCCCACCGGCCGAGGCUCCCCCGGCCGAGGCAGCACCGGCCGAGGCAGCCCCACCAGCAGAGGGAGAGGCACCUCCCGCCGAGGCUCCACCAGCUGAGGAACCCAAGGCACCAACUCCCCCUCCUCCAGAAGCUGCUGCUGAAGCUCCACCGGUUGAGGAGGUCAGAGCUCCUACCCCUCCUCCUCCUGCAGAGCCCACCAGUGAGCCCCUGGAGCUGGUCGUGGAAGAUGUCAACGACACUUCAGUCACAAUCCAGUGGAGACCUCCUGCCACUAUUGGCAACGCCGGCUUGGACGGAUACACUGUGGAAUGCUGCAAAGAAGGAACUGGUGACUGGAAGGCUGUGAACGAGGAGCUCACCGUUUCCUGCCGCUAUGUUAUCAAGAACCAGACCACUGGUGACAAACUGAACAUCAGGGUGGUGGCUGUUAAUGCUGGAGGCCGUAGCCCUCCUGGUGUUUUGCCUGAUGCUGUUCUGGUCAGAGAGGUUGUUGAUCGCCCCAAGAUCCACCUGCCCCGUAUUCUGAGACAGCGCUAUGUGGUGAAUGUUGGAGAGAAGAUCAACCUUGUCAUCCCCUUCAGCGGCAAACCUCAGCCCGUGGUCACCUGGACAAAAGACGGCCAGCCUCUCGACACCAAGAGAGUGAACAUCCGUAACACCGACAAGGACAGCAUCUUCUUCAUCCGCACCUCUGAGAGAGCGGACUCCGGCGUCUAUGAGAUGUGUGUUAAGGUGGACAGCUUUGAGGACAAAGCCCAGUUAACCCUGCAGAUCAUUGAGCUGCCAGGUCCUCCUGCAUCUGUAAAGAUUGUGGAUACCUGGGGUUUCAACGUCGCUCUGGAAUGGACUGAGCCAAAAGACAAUGGAAACACAACUAUCACUGGCUACACAAUCCAGAAAGCUGACAAAAAGACCGGGGACUGGUACACAGUGUUGGAGCACUAUCACAGGAUGAACGCCACCAUCUCAGACCUCAUCAUGGGCAACACUUACACUUUCAGGGUCUUCUCUGAGAACAAGUGUGGAAUUAGUGAACAGGCUACUGUCACAAAGACCUUUGCCACCAUCCAGAAGACAGGUAUCGACUACAAGCCACCACAGUACAAAGAACACGACUUCAGCGAACCUCCCAAGUUCACCACCGUCAUGCCCGACCGCAGCACCACUGUGGGCUACAGCACCAAGCUGCUGUGCGCUGUCAGAGGAAGCCCAAAGCCCAAGAUCGAAUGGAUGAAAAACCAGAUGAUCAUUGGUGACGACCCCAAGUUCAGGCAGAUCAACAACCAGGGCAUCUGCUCUCUGGAGAUCCGCAAACCCGGUAACUUUGACGGUGGCGUGUACUCCUGCAGAGCCAAGAAUGCGCACGGAGAGGCUAUCGUCACCUGCAAGCUGGAGGUCAAACAACCAGUGAUUGCUGAUGCUGAUAAGAAAUAAGUUGUGAAGCCACCACAUUCAUGCAGUCCCAAAUUAGGAGCAGCAGGAAGAGAGAGUCCUUUCAAAAGGAUCUUGCCGACACUGGUUGCUGAAACAUAAGAAAAUCAUGAACUGUACAUAUAAAGGAAAAAAAAUAAAGAGACAUUUAACGUCCUUUUCGUAUGUAACACUCUGACUCACAAUUAAAGCACAUAUAUAGUUAUUAUAUAUAUUGACUGCUGGUGGUCGAAACAUCUAUUUAAGUAUUUGUGUCUAUUUAUGUAUUUCCCCAUACCUGUCUCUGUCCUAUAUUGUAAAGCUGAUCGAGUUUCCACCAGUUCUAUGGGAUCACCUGCAAAAAGGGGAAAAGUCGUUUAUCCACUUUUCAGUGUUUGUUAAGAAUAAAUUUGCGCCUUCGA
Astyanax mexicanus (Mexican tetra) is the source of this 2001-nucleotide RNA transcript. It is a transcript of the gene named myosin binding protein Hb, with no coding region annotated. NCBI's taxonomy places the organism in Eukaryota, Metazoa, Chordata, Actinopteri, Characiformes, Acestrorhamphidae. The record is from RefSeq and is a predicted model, not a curated record. The transcript is spliced from 13 exons.